CAAACACUUUAUCAAACAAACAAACAAACAAACAAAAAAUAAACAACCAGUAGUGAACCGACUUCUUUUAUUUUCAUUUUUGCUGAUUUUUUUCUCUAUGUACAAAUGAUUCUCUCUCUC
RNAcentral lists this non-coding RNA (120 nucleotides) under Platyophrya macrostoma. The record is from RNAcentral. Lineage: Eukaryota; Ciliophora; Colpodea; Cyrtolophosidida; Platyophryidae.